AGAGAGAGACAUGCGCGCAUAUCAAUAAGCGGAGGAAAAGAAACUAACUAGGAUUCCCUCAGUAACGGCGAGUGAAGCGGGAAGAGCUCAAAUUUGAAAUCUUCAAGGUUCUACCUUGACGAAUUGUAGUUUAAAGAAGUGUUUUCUGUUGGAGUUUUGGUAAAAGUUCUUUGGAAUAGGACAUCAUAGAGGGUGAGAAUCCCGUAUUUGACCAUUAUUUCCAGCUUUGUGAUACACUUUCAAAGAGUCGGAUUGUUUGGGAAUGCAGUCCAAAAUGGGUGGUAAAUUUCAUCUAAAGCUAAAUACUGGCGAGAGACCGAUAGCGAACAAGUACCGUGAGGGAAAGAUGAAAAGAACUUUGAAAAGAGAGUUAAACAGUACGUGAAAUUGUCAAAAGGGAAGCGUUUGACACCAGUGUUGUUUUCUCGAAAAUCAAUUAAAAAUGGCAGGAUUUUGUGUUGUAUUGACUUUAUCAGCUUUCUGCACUUUUUUCUUGUCUUUUUUAAUGCACUUUUCGUUUAACAAGUCAACAUCAAUUUCUUUUGUUGUAAAAGGGUCAUUGGAAGGUGGCUUUCUUUUCGGAGAAAGUGUUUAUAGCCUUUGACCUCUGCAAUCGGAGAGACUGAGGUCUGCAGCGUAGAUCCUUCGGGGUUAGAUACACUUGUGCUAAGUUAUAGCCUUUUCAUAGACAACUUGUUGACUAUGACUAGUCAUGUAGCUUACUCGCUUAUGUCAUUUUACCUACGCUUAGGAUGUUGACAGCAGUAUAGACUGU
RNAcentral lists this ribosomal RNA (775 nucleotides) under uncultured Neocallimastigales. RNAcentral's name for it is "partial large subunit ribosomal RNA". It matches the Rfam family "Eukaryotic large subunit ribosomal RNA", at positions 23 to 633 of the family's 3401-position model. The record is from RNAcentral. Lineage: Eukaryota; Fungi; Neocallimastigomycota; Neocallimastigomycetes; Neocallimastigales.